UGAAGACGAUAUUAUUAAACCCGAACUUGAUGUAAGAAUAUCAAACCCUUACAACUCAAUUUAAACAUAAAAAUAAUCCAACACACUUUAAUGAAUACCCCAUCAUAUGUGAGAGAAUAAUUCUCCACUUUAUUCUCACAAACAAACACCUCGAUACUACUACCCAAUCCCGUUCUAAGGAUCUUACCUGCAUAUAAUUCAUCAAAGAGAAAUAAGAAGAAAACAUGGGGUGAGAUAAGUUUCAAAUUACUUCAAGUGGUAUAAUAAUUUCAAUAUAUAGAAACAAACACACAAAAGUACAUUUGAAAAACUAAUAAUACAACUAAUUGAAUUUAGUGAAAUUGUGCUUAAUUUAGGAGCUACAUUAAAUGUAUACACCAACCAUAUUUUAUCAACACAAAUUUCAAGGCCAACUACCAUAAUACAACUAAUUGAAUUUAGUGAAAUUUGAAGAAAAUUUUUAGGGUUAAGUUUUUAGGUCUCUAUAAAAAAAUUGGGCAUGUUAUGGUUCCUAUAAAAAUUUUAUGCAUGCAGUUUUAGUUCCUGUUAUUUAUCAAAAUUGUUUAAUUAUUCUUAAUUUUUUUAUAUUUUUGAAUAAUUAUUUUUCAGAUAUUUUAACAAUUCUAUAAAAAAUAAAGAUAAAAGAAAUGAAUAUCUCAAAUUAGAAGUCAUAUAUUUAGCUCCUGUUUUUUUUAGGAACUUCUUAUAUUGUUCUGAACAAGUCUUCAAAAUAAUCAAUAAAAAAUGCACAUUGGUUUAAGAUUAGGGAUUAAAACUACGUGUAUAAUAAUUUUAUAGAGACUAUGUCAAUUUAUAGAGAAGAAAACAAAAUUUGAUAAUGUUAUAAAAAUCUAAAAAUAUUUAACCCGAAUUUUUAUUCGUAUUAAAUUUCAACCAAUUUUAGUUGUUAAAAUUGUUAUUGCAACCAAAACCUUUUGUUCACUUAAGUUGCUUCCGGUCCUUUGUCUUGUUAAUGGCCAAGGCGUAUUUUGAAGUCAUUCACUUUGAGUCUUUCUAAAUUGUUUCCUAAUCGUUGCCUAUCAUUUAGCAACGAUUUUUUUUCCAUUGCCUUGGUUUGAACAGAUUUACGUUUUUUUUAUAUAAGUGAAUGCUCCGAAAUUUUCAUAUUUAAUUACUGUUUGUGAAUUCAAAUUUUAAUUUUCUCUGUCCUUUAUAAGGAAGGUGAUUAUAUAGAUGCAUACAAAUUAGAAUAUCUCACUCUCUAACUAUGAUGAUAUUAUCAAGUUAGUAGAUGAUAGUUGUACAAAGACAUCCCGAAGAUAAGUGUAAAACUCAAUAAUAUUAUAACUUAUAUUGCUUAUGUAUCACAAUAUAUGUCACUUUGGGGAAAAAAAUUGUAUCGUAAUAUAUGUCGCUUUAUAUUAGCAAAGAAGUAUUUAAUGUUUUUUUUCCUAUUGUUUGUUCAAAUUUUUUUUUCCAAUUAUACCCAUAACUAUUUAUUACUCUCUCUUCUUUCAAUUCUUUAAUUUAUUUUUUUCAUACCAUAAAUGAAGGACAAUUUUGUAAAUCAACUCAUAAUCUCUCUUUUCCAUACAACAUUAAUUAACUUUCUUAAUAUAUGUAAAAGUGCUAAAGCGACAUAUAUUGUGGUACGGAGGGAGUAACAAACAUAUGAUGAUACUAUCAAUAAUAUUUUCAUUAGAUAACUGACCCAUAUAUAUAUACUCCAAAUUAUCAAAUUUAUUCACAAAACAUAUUUCAAACUAUAAUGUUUUACUUUUUCAAUUUUUCUUAAUAUAUAAGUGUGAUUUUUUUUUCUUCUUAUAAUUUGGGACGGAGGAAGUAUAUUAGAGAAAUUAUAAGAUUAACAUUAAGAUGAGCAAUGAAAAUGGAAGGUCAUGAUAGAGAAAUAAGACUUACUAUCUUAACCUUUUACAUUCAUUUCUAAAGCACGCCAUUGUUCCACGAGGAGCAUUUGGAAAGCUUAUAUAGCAAUCUUCGUCAGUUUCGCACUUUGCUUUAUUGUAUGUA
This 1992-nucleotide long non-coding RNA is filed under the name Trifolium pratense (red clover). RNAcentral's name for it is "long non-coding RNA (TPRA_LNC014219)". Lineage: Eukaryota; Viridiplantae; Streptophyta; Magnoliopsida; Fabales; Fabaceae. The record is from RNAcentral.